UAACCAUCCCCCUCCCUCCCCAUCUUACACCCAAAAUUGAAACCACAGAUGAAAAGUUCUUCACUUUUAGUUACUUGUUCGCAAUAUCCCCACACAAUCCGACCACAUUAUGCUUCUAUCCAUCAUCAAGUGCGGGUAUUAACUGUGUAAGAGUGAGAACUCUGAGAAGUUGAUAGCUAGGGCUUAUCCUCAACUCGCACUUUUCUCUGCAAUCUUGAUCGACGGGACUAAUCAAAGUAAAGCCAGGCGUCGAGCCCUGAUGAUAUUUUGUGCCACAUAGUUGAAUAAGAAUGUGAAGGUCUCAAAGCAUAAUGGUAUUUAAAUGGCAUGGUGUGUUUGAACAGUGCACCAUUGUAGAGGGUGCCGACACGAGGGAGUGAGAAGAGGGAUGAUACUACAAUUGAAAAGCAGAGUUCCUUUUUGUCUCAGAUAUGGUGCUCAUAGACAUAUAUGCUUUCUGUUGCCGGAUAUAAGCAUACAAAUUGUGCUAAUUGGGAUCCGGGAUCAAAGAUAAAAAAUUUGGAUUUUGAGGGUCGUAACGGAUCGCCACUGUUGAUAUAACGGUCUUUUAUGAGAUUAAAAGUGGCUGCGUACCAUGUGGAAAAGGCUUGGCAACGGACCAUUACCGAAGUCGUAACGAUCCGUUCUAAGGGCGUGGCCAGGAGGUGAUAAUUUCGUGUCCACAGGAGAUGGAGGUCGAUGCUUUCAGAAGACUUUUCCUCUUACGAUUUCAUGAAAGCAUUUGCUCGAGUUCGUACAGCCUGAUGCCAGAAUGUAGGGUACUUCUGAAUGUGGAGGGUUGUUGAAGGAAGAGUAUGCGCAUGAGGGUGCCUGAGCUCGACGGACACUGCAUGAUUUUGUUGAAAGCAAUUUUUUGGUUCAACUCGGCUUUGUUUGAAAAUGUAGA
Long non-coding RNA from Helianthus annuus (common sunflower), 907 nucleotides. RefSeq lists it as uncharacterized. The transcript is spliced from 7 exons. Lineage: Eukaryota; Viridiplantae; Streptophyta; Magnoliopsida; Asterales; Asteraceae. The record is from RefSeq and is a predicted model, not a curated record.